GACGAACGCUGGCGGCGUGCUUAACACAUGCAAGUCGAACGGAAAGGCCCUGCUUUUGUGGGGUGCUCGUGUGGCGAACGGGUGAGUAACACGUGAGUAACCUGCCCUUGACUUUGGGAUAACUUCACGAAACUGGGGCUAAUACCGGAUAGGAGCUCCUGCUGCAUGGGGGUGGUUGGAAAGUUUCGGCCGUUGGGGAUGGACUCGCGGCUUAUCAGCUUGUUGGUGGGGUAGUGGCUUACCAAGGCUUUGACGGGUAGCCGGCCUGAGAGGGUGACCGGCCACAUUGGGACUGAGAUACGGACCAGACUCCUACGGGAGGCAGCAGUGGAGAAUAUUGCACAGUGGGCGGGAGCCUGAUGCAGCAACGCCGCGUGCGGGAUGACGGCCUUCGGGUUGUAAACCGCUUUCGCCUGUGACGAAGCGUGAGUGACGGUAAUGGGUAAAGAAGCACCGGCUAACUACGUG
Molecule: ribosomal RNA, 468 nt
Filed under: uncultured bacterium
Lineage: Bacteria
Description: partial 16S ribosomal RNA
Rfam family: Bacterial small subunit ribosomal RNA
Source: RNAcentral